This 253-nucleotide ribosomal RNA is filed under the name uncultured bacterium. RNAcentral's name for it is "partial 16S ribosomal RNA". It matches the Rfam family "Bacterial small subunit ribosomal RNA", at positions 524 to 776 of the family's 1533-position model. The record is from RNAcentral.
UACGUAGGGACCGAGCGUUGUCCGGAAUCAUUGGGCGUAAAGAGCGUGUAGGCGGCUAUUUAAGUCCUGCGUGAAAUCCUGCGGCUCAACCGCAGACGGUCGUGGGAAACUGGAUGGCUAGAGUGCGGGAGAGGAGAGUGGAAUUCCCGGUGUAGCGGUGAAAUGCGCAGAUAUCGGGAGGAACACCAGUAGCGAAGGCGGCACUCUGGGCCGGAACUGACGCUGAGGAGCGAAAGCGUGGGGAGCGAACAGG